UCUCCGUAGGUGAACCUGCGGAGGGAUCAUUACAGAGUUCAUGCCCUACCGGGUAGAUCUCCCACCCUAUGUUAUUAUUACUUUGUUGCUUUGGCGGGCCGUUAGGCUCCGGCCCGACUACCGGCCCCGGCUGGUAAGCGCCCGCCAGAGGACCCAAAACCCUGAAUAUUAGUGUCGUCUGAGUACUAUAUGAUAGUUAAAACUUUCAACAACGGAUCUCUUGGUUCCG
Molecule: unclassified non-coding RNA, 229 nt
Filed under: plant metagenome
Description: partial contains small subunit ribosomal RNA, internal transcribed spacer 1, and 5.8S ribosomal RNA
Source: RNAcentral